CGGCGAGUGAAGCGGCAACAGCUCAAAUUUGAAAUCUGGCCCUCGGGUCCGAGUUGUAAUUUGUAGAGGAUGCUUUUGGCGCGGUGCCUUCCGAGUUCCCUGGAACGGGACGCCUUAGAGGGUGAGAGCCCCGUACGGUUGGACGCUAAGCCUCUGUAAAGCUCCUUCAACGAGUCGAGUAGUUUGGGAAUGCUGCUCUAAAUGGGAGGUAAAUUUCUUCUAAAGCUAAAUACCGGCCAGAGACCGAUAGCGCACAAGUAGAGUGAUCGAAAGAUGAAAAGCACUUUGAAAAGAGGGUUAAAUAGCACGUGAAAUUGUUGAAAGGGAAGCGUUUGCGACCAGACCUUUUCCUAGCGGAUCAUCCGGUGUUCUCACCGGUGCACUUCGCUAGGUUUAGGCCAGCAUCGGUUUCCGUAGGGGGAUAAAAGCCUGGGGAAUGUGGCUCCUUCGGGAGUGUUAUAGCCCCUCGCAUAAUACCCUUAUGGGGACCGAGGACCGCGCUUUUGCAAGGAUGCUGGCAUAAUGGUCGCCAACGAC
This 537-nucleotide ribosomal RNA is filed under the name fungal endophyte. RNAcentral describes it as "eukaryotic LSU rRNA". It matches the Rfam family "Eukaryotic large subunit ribosomal RNA", at positions 87 to 648 of the family's 3401-position model. The record is from RNAcentral. Lineage: Eukaryota; Fungi.